Molecule: ribosomal RNA, 438 nt
Filed under: uncultured bacterium
Lineage: Bacteria
Description: bacterial SSU rRNA
Rfam family: Bacterial small subunit ribosomal RNA
Source: RNAcentral
UACGGAGGCAGCAGUGGGGAAUAUUGCACAAUGGGCGCAAGCCUGAUGCAGCCAUGCCGCGUGUAUGAAGAAGGCCUUCGGGUUGUAAAGUACUUUCAGUCGUGAGGAAGGUGUUAAGGUUAAUAACCUUAGCAAUUGACGUUAGCGACAGAAGAAGCACCGGCUAACUCCGUGCCAGCAGCCGCGGUAAUACGGAGGGUGCGAGCGUUAAUCGAAAUUACUGGGCGUAAAGGGCACGCAGGCGGUUAAUUAAGUUGGAUGUGAAAUCCCCGGGCUUAACCUGGGAAUGGCAUUCAAGCUGGUUAGCUAGAGUCUUGUAGAGGGGGUAGAAUUCCAUGUGUAGCGGUGAAAUGCGUAGAGAUGUGGAGGAAUACCGGUGGCGAAGGCGGCCCCUGGACAAAGGACUGACGCUCAUGUGCGAAAGCGUGGGGAGCAAAC